AUGCUCCCAAUUAAUUGUAUAAUUUUAUUGUUCAUUUAUUAUAUUUAUUACUUCCUGUUCCAGACUGAAACAAUCAUCCAGCGUUUGGAAAGAGCCCUGUCACUUUCAGGAACUACAUCUGUGGAUCCUCAUUUCAUAACAGAUGUUAUUCUGCCCGAGGCUCUGAUUCAGUGGGUGCAGACUACAAAUGUCAUCUGCCGUUUUCAAGCAGAAGACUUGCUUAUGAAGACCAAGCCAUUCAUUGACAAUGAAGGGUAUAGUAACAUUUGGGUGCUGACUCCUGUUAGGAGCAUGUAUAAUAAGCUGAAAUUUUGAAACGCUAUGAUUUCUCUGACCUCACAGAAAAGCAGAACUGGCCAUUAAUGAUGACACUCCAAAGGUAAAGCACACAUAACAAGUAUAGUAUAUAGUACAUAUGUAUAUAUUUACAGUGAGGGCGGAGGGUGUUUGAUGUCCCGGGAAUUUUGCAACUUCUACUUCGAAAUCAAAGAGGGGUUUUCAGCAUACAUGCAUAAACAUUGCAUGUAUAUAUAUAAAUGUGUGUGUGUGUGUGUGUGUGUGUGUGUGUCUGUCUGUC
This 577-nucleotide long non-coding RNA is filed under the name Nothobranchius furzeri (turquoise killifish). Its description in RNAcentral is "lncRNA (ENSNFUG00015004306.1)". Lineage: Eukaryota; Metazoa; Chordata; Actinopteri; Cyprinodontiformes; Nothobranchiidae. The record is from RNAcentral.